UCACAGGCCUCACAGCCACAGCGCAGUGCCAACCAAGCAGCCAGGCCAGGCUGCGAUGCCAUGCCGAUCAGGUCCCUUGUCAAGAUCGCCUCGUAGCUGCAAAUACAAGUGGUCAGAGUGGUGGCUGCGUGUAACUGAAGGGCUACUCUGGACUAAAUGAGAAUGCUGGUCAUCUUUGGAAUCCUGCUGAUGUUCACAGAAGCUUCCAUGACUUCAGAAGAGGCUUCCUUCUGGGACAAUGGCCAUGCAGACCAUUUUGUGGCAUAUGGUCUGAGCACUGGCAGCCUGACCUCCCACUUCUUCAACCUCU
Pygocentrus nattereri (red-bellied piranha) is the source of this 310-nucleotide long non-coding RNA. NCBI's taxonomy places the organism in Eukaryota, Metazoa, Chordata, Actinopteri, Characiformes, Serrasalmidae. The record is from Ensembl.